CCUACGGGAGGCAGCAGGGAGGAAUAUUGGUCAAUGGGCGCGAGCCUGAACCAGCCAAGUAGCGUGAAGGAUGACUGCCCUACGGGUUGUAAACUUCUUGUAUAAAGGAAGAAAGUGAGGCACGUGGGCCUUGUUGUAUGUACGUUAUGAAUAAGGAUCGGCUAACUCCGUGCCAGCAGCCGCGGUAAUACGGAGGAUCCGAGCGUUAUCCGGCGUUAUUGGGUUGAAAGGGAGCGUAGAUGGGUUGUUAAGUCAGUUGUGAAAGGUUGCGGCUCCACCGUCAAAUUGCAAUUGAUACGGGCAGCCUUGAGUACAGUUGAGGUAGGCGGCCUUCGUGGUGUAGCGG
RNAcentral lists this ribosomal RNA (346 nucleotides) under uncultured bacterium. RNAcentral describes it as "partial 16S ribosomal RNA". It matches the Rfam family "Bacterial small subunit ribosomal RNA", at positions 338 to 681 of the family's 1533-position model. The record is from RNAcentral.